GACGAACGCUGGCGGCGUGCCUAAUACAUGCAAGUCGAACGCAGUGGGGACGGGUGAGUAACACGUGGGUAACCUCCAAUCAGAGGGGAUAACAAUUGGAAACAGGUGCUAAACCGAUACUGAUGGAUGGACCGGUGGCGCAUUAGCUAGUUGGUGGGGUAACGGCUCACCAAGGCCACGAUGCAUAGCCGGCCUGGGAGGGUGAUCGGCCACACUGGGACUGAGACACGGCCCAGACUCCUACGGGAGGCAGCAGUAGGGAAUCUUCGGCAAUGGACGAAAGUCUGACCAAGCAACGCCGCGUGAGUGAAGAAGGUUUUCGGAUCGUAAAACUCUGUUGUUAGAGAAGCGGUAUCUAACCAGAAAGUCACGGCUAACUACGUGCCAGCAGCCGCGGUAAUUC
Molecule: ribosomal RNA, 403 nt
Filed under: uncultured bacterium
Lineage: Bacteria
Description: partial 16S ribosomal RNA
Rfam family: Bacterial small subunit ribosomal RNA
Source: RNAcentral